Molecule: long non-coding RNA, 10755 nt
Filed under: Vitis vinifera (wine grape)
Lineage: Eukaryota; Viridiplantae; Streptophyta; Magnoliopsida; Vitales; Vitaceae
Description: long non-coding RNA (VVIN_LNC004926)
Source: RNAcentral
AUUUUUGAAAUUGAAAAUUAAAUUUGGGAGUUGGAAUUUUGAAGGAUUAUUAAAAGAUGGAAUUUUAAAAUGAACUUGAAAAUUAGAAUCUAAAAAAAAUAUUUGAGGAAUGAGAUUUCUUAAAGAAUCUAGAUAUUGGAAGUUUUUAGGAAAUUAUGUGAGAAUGGAAGUGAGAAUAUGACCAUUAGAAAGUGCUUAAAUUAAUUGAGAAAGAAACUAGAUUGUUAACACAUGUAGGCGUGGAGGAUAAAAUAAUAAUAACAUAAAAAAGAAAAAGAAAAUGGGCAUGCUUGGGAUUGAGUGCAUAGGUGGCUGCCCAUUUUCUUUGAUGAUGGCCCUACUAUUCCUCUGACUUGCACUUUGUCCCAUGAUGAAAUUGAAUUCACCCAUGGAUUAUAUGACCAGCAUGCCGACCCUUCCACCAACUCCAAAGCCGCAAGUCAAGAGGGUUGCCAUAAAAAAUUGGGACGUAAUUAGAAUGGGACUAGAUAAUGUUACCCAAACAUUCGGUCAGUCCAGGGGAUAGUAACUAUUACUUAACAGCUAUAAUAGAUUAUCAGAGGGGAAUGAACAAGUAACAAAGAGAAAGGCGGAGCAAAAUGUGAAAAGAAACAAGAGCAGCUGAUCCAAACUAAGAGGAAAGACCUGAUAUGCUAACUGUAGACAACACACCUUCCUCACCGGCCAUUUGGCUCGGCAAGCCUGGGUCUGCAUCCCAUCUGCUCAAUAAAUUUGGUGAGGCGCAAGUGCUUUGCACUCCACUACUCAGCCAACUUCUGCUCCUUGGAUUCUGCAUCCCUCCUCAGUCCUGCUAACUGAAUGUAUUAGAUGUCCUCUCAAACUUCCCCUGAUUUCUUUUCGUAUCUCCUCCUCCCGCUUGCUCUCUUUUUCUUUCUCCCCUCCUUCAGAUUUUUUUUUUCUCCUUCGAAAAUCUCCCUCCUGCUCUGCCAAAACCCAAGCCUCAAAACCAGCCUGCCUCUCUGUCCUCUCUCGCACUCGCCUACUGAAAAAGAUCAAUGUUUCUCUCUCUCCCUCGUUCCCUCAAGCUCUCCUCCAGCCAUCUUCUCUGUGUCUUUUUCUCUCCUAUUUCUAUCUUCCACAGCAAGCCACUACCGGCUCCACUAUUGCUCCACUCAGCAAGUAUGACCCCUCUGACCACCAGCAUGGCCGGCCAUCUUGACUUGCUGCCUCCACCAGCUCGUCUCAUGUGUCGGGAAGGGGUCCCCCCAUUUGCCUAGGGUGCUGCCAACUGCUGGUGAUGAGAAGGCACCCUUUCAAUGUUAUAAAAUCCUUAAAAAAAACUUAAAAGUCCCCGGCUCUUGAAAGGGGGUCUACAAAUAUGCCCCUCUUCGGUAGAGUUCACAAGUGUAAGGAACAUGAACACUAGAGUGAAAAGAAAGUGUGAAUAGUGAGUGGAAUGAAGUGGACUCUACCGAAGAACCAAGGAGACCCCCAUAGGGACAUUGGUGAAACACGAACUCGCUCAGACUAACAGAUGGACAACGAGGCUUUAAUCCCAAUAAGGAAGGAUGUCUCAAAAUGUCUCUAAAGUCACACUGAGGACCCAAGCUCCCUCUAAGAUGUCUCCAAAAGUGACCCAAGAGACCAUGACAAAGAUGAGUAACGGUCGAACCACUCUGGAGUACAAGAAAGAAUGUGCCCGAAAAGAGACUGUCCUAUGUGAACCACAUGAAAACAACAGGUGUAGGGUGCUCAAUAACAUGACAGAAAUACGUAUCGUGAACUCAAAGGACUAUGCCAUGAGCAGUGAGAAGGGAAAGUCUAGAAGAGCAAUGAUGAAUAGGCAAUAAACACCAAGUAACCAGGUGAGGAGAACGACUCUGAACGCCUAAAAUGGAUGAUGUAUGAUGACCCCAAAAAUGCCUGGAUGAGUAUGCAUAAUGGCUCUAAAUGCCAAAUCUGGAAAUGUGACUCUAAAUGUCAUACCGAAACAAAGACCUGGACGUCAAACUGACCUGAUAGGAAAAAUGAAUAACCGAUUUAUAUGGGUGCGGUCCCGACUCAAACUAAACACAAACUGAUAGGAAAAUGGCCGAUCGAUAUGGGUGCGGCCCCGACUCAAACAGACAUGACAAGAUAAAUGAUAAGAAGAUGACCGACCGAUAUAGGUGCAGCCCUAGAAACUGAACUGUCAUGACAAGGAGAUGGCCGAUCGAUAUAGGUGCAGCCCCGACUCAAACUGACACGAUAAUGAUCGAUCGAUAUAGAUGCGGUCCCAGAAACUGAACUGAUAGGAAGAUGACCGAUCGAUAUAGGUGCGGCCUCGGCUCAAGAUGACAAGAUAAUGACCGAUCAAUAUAGGUGCGGUCCCAGAAACUAAACUGAUAGGAAGAUGGCUGAUCGAUAUAGGUGUGGCCCCGACUCAAGAUGACACGAUAAUGACCGAUCGAUAUAGGUGCGGCCCCGACUCAAACUGACACGAUAAUGACCGAUCGAUAUAGGUGCGGUCUCGACUCGAAUUGAACUGAUAGGAAGAUGGCCGAUUGAUAUAGGUGCGGCCCCGACUCAAACUGACACGACGAAUGACCAAUCGAUAUAGGCGCGGCCCCGAACUCUAAUUGAUAAGACAAUGACCGAUCGAUAUAGGUGCGGUCCCGACUCGAACUGAACUGAUAGGAAGAUGACCGAUCGAUAUAGGUGUGGCCCCGACUCAAACUGACACGUUAAUAACCGAUCGAUAUAGGUGCGGUCCCAGAAACUGAACUGAUAGGAAGAUGGCCGAUCGAUAUAGGUGCGGCCCCGGAAACUGAACUGUCAUGACAAGGAGAUGGCCGAUCGAUAUAGGUGCGGUCCCAGAAACUGAACUGAUAUGAAGAUGGCCGAUCGAUAUAGGUGUGGCCCCGACUCGAACUGAACUGAUAGGAAGAUGACCGAUUGAUACAGGUGCGGCCCCGACUCAAACUGACACGACGAAUGACCGAUCAAUAUAGGUGCGGUCCCGACUCGAACUAAAUUGAUAGGAAGAUGACCGAUCGAUAUAGGUGCGGCCCCGACUCAAACUGACACGAAAAUGACCGAUCGAUAUAGGUGCGGCCCCGACUCAAACUGAAACGAUAAUGAAGAUGGUCGAUCGAUAUAGGUGCGGCCCCGACUCAAACUGACACGACGAAUGACCGAUCGAUAUAGGUGCGGUCCCAGACUCGAGCUGAACUGAUAGGAAGAUGGCCGAUUGAUAUAGGUGCAGCCCCGACUCAAACUGACACGACGAAUGACUGAUCGAUAUAGGUGCGGUCCCAGAAACUGAACUGACAUGACAAGGAGAUGGCCGAUCGAUAUAGGUGCGGCCCCGACUCAAACUGAAAUGAUAAUGACCGAUCGAUAUAGGUGCGAUCCCAGAAACUGACUGACAUGACAAGGAGACGGCCGAUCGAUAUAGGUGCGGCCCCGACUCAAACUGUCACGAUAAUGACUGAUCGAUAUAGGUGCGGUCCCAGAAACUGACUGACAUGACAAGGAGAUGGCCGAUCGAUAUAGGUGCGGCCCCAACUCAAACUGACACGAUAAUGACCGAUCGAUAUAGGUGAGGUCCCAGAAACUGACAGGAAGAUGGCCGAUUGAUAUAGGUGCGGGCCCGACUCAAACUGACACGAUAAUGACCAAUCAAUAUAGGUGCGGCCCCGACUCAAACUGAAACGAUAAUGACCAAUCGAUAUAGGUGCGGUCUCGACUCGAACUGAACUGACAGGAAGAUGGCCGAUCGAUAUAGGUACGGCCCCAACUCAAACUGACACGACAAUGACCGAUCGAUAUAGGUGUGGUCCCGACUCGAACUGAACUGAUAGGAUGAUGAUGAGAAAAUGAUCGAGUGACUGAAAGCCAUAUGAUACUAAGAUGAUGAUGCAAGCAAACUCGGCAGGAGGGGACAUGCCCCAGUAUGACAACUCAUGAGGAUCGACAACUAGGUCAGAAGGUGAAUGAAGCCUACGGAAGACUCGAUGCUCUCGGAGAAGGGGGUAUGCCCCAGUAUGCAAUGAUGAACAGACAGAGAUGCAAAAUGCCUUAAAACUACUGUAUUCUAAAAUAUGUUCAUCCAUCAUGUAAUGAAAAUGUCCAACCUCAAAUAGGUAAAGCCAAAUAGGACCAUGUGUCGUGACACCAUGCUGACAAAACAAGACUAACUGAUGAAUAAAACAAUGAUGACCAAUGCUCAAAAUGCAAAGGGCAAACAAAAUCAACACUCAACAUGCCAACUAUCAAAAUGAAAGCAUCGUCACUAAUAAGUCAACAAUCUGGCAAGCCCUGCUAUCAUGGAAGAUAUUGAACCUAAAGUCCAAAAGAUGUAUGAAAACACAACCAAGGCGAUCGAGGAUUGAUCUACAUCUCCUCCUAAUCGAGAAAAUGGUGAAGUCAUGUGUCACGGUGCGAUGUGUAGGAUAAAAGAAGGUAAUGAUCAGGCUCUGGUAAGAUAGAAAGUAUGAAAGUAUCAAGGGUGAAAUGUUUGAGUAUGAAAUAAAAGGUAGGGAGAUAUCCGAGAUCAUCCAAGUAUGCCGAGAAGACUAAACCCGAGGUGUCGAUAACUCCGUAAUCCAUCAGAAGUAAUAAUCAUGAACGAAAAGUCAAAUCUCGAUAUCAAAACAUCCGACUAAGUGGCUAUGCCCCAGUAUGCAAUGAGGAUAACAUGAAAUAAUCCAAUGAUCUCCAUAUCAAUCGGUAGAUGCUCCAAUGUAAAGAACCAAUCUGAUCUCCCUCCAAAAGAUGGACAUGCCCCAGUGUAAAGGAUUUGAUAGGGUGACUAUGCUCCAAUGAAGAAUGCUCCCCAUCCCAGCUAUGUCCCAGUGUAAAGUAGUGUAUCCGAGUCAACAAAUCAAUCAAUCUCUACUCCUGGUGCUAAAAAUGGAAACCUCUCAACAUAAUCCAUAUGAAUCAGAAUCCCCGAGCUUUAUGAGUACGAAUGAACUGGCUAUGCCCCCAGUAUAAACCAUCUGAAGUGACUAUGCUCCAAUGGAAAAUCAAAGUCCGUCACCAAUGAGAAGGUCACGCCUCAAAGUAAAUCGUCAUCUCAAAAAUCAACUAUCAAUGAGUGGAACAUGUCCCAAUGCAGAGCAUCAAGUAGAGUGACUGUAUCUCCAAUAAAAGCGCUCUCUGAAAUGGCUAUGCCCCAGUGUAGGGUCAUCCAACAACUCCUGAUCCAUCAUAAUCCAAUGUGAAAGAAGCAAACCGACUAUGCCUCAAUGUAAAACAUCAUCCCGAAAGAAACUGUCAUCGAUGAGUGGGGUAUGCUCCAGUGUAGAUAACGGCGCCUCUGAAAAUCCAUCACUGAUAAUAGGGGUAUGCCCCAGUGUAAAUCAUCAUCCCAACUCCCCAUCCAUCAUGCUCCGAGGAAUAAUCUCCGACCAAGCUCAAGUAUUGCCCACGUGUGAGCUGUCAAACACAAUGUGUGAAGUAAUGGCCUCAGGGUGGUCUUCAGACACGGGACGUAACGUAGGCCAAGGUAAUAGGGUAAAAGAAACGAAAGGAAACUAGGCUCAAAUAUCCCAAUGAUAUAAUCCCCAUACCCCUCAUGCAUGAGAUGCAAUGCGUAGAAAACGUCAUGAGUCCCGGACCUAGUGGUCCCCACACGAAAAGUGAUGAUAAAUGAAUGGUCUCAUCGAAUAAGCAAUAAUGAAGUGUGGAUGCUGAACCCAUGUCAAACAUCAAACAGAAUGAAAAAAGAAUGAGAUAAGAUGAAGUGGAGUGAAACGGAGGGAUAAAAUAAAGAUAGAAGAAGACGAAGAGAUAGAAAAGUGAGUGAUGGUCAACUCGCAUCAAAGCAUGGAAAGUAGUCACAUCCGAAAUAGACGGAAUGAUGGAUAGAGCAAGGAUCCAGAGAUACUAAAAGAAAGGUCGCUCGUCUCUCUCACAAAAUUCGAAUGAGCGACUCAUACUCUCACCCAAAAUAUACCAAGAUGGAAUCUCAGAAAGAAGCUUUCAUACGAACUCUCUCUAACACAUGAACCCAAUGAAGCAAACUAGCAUGUCCAUACACAUGCCCAAUGGAAAAUAAUAAAAUGAACAAUGCGCUAUCUUUUUUUUUUUUUUUUUUUUUUUUUUUUUUUUUUUUUGCGCAUACUCUGAUCAAUAAUGAAUGAACUCCCAUGAAAUACAUAGCCAAAUGAAUAAACUCUCACCAUGUACUGAUGUAACACGAAUCCUCACUAAUAAGACGACCUCUCAAAAUAAGAUCUCUGAACCAUUGCUCAUAAGGCGAACGGGGGGAAGAACGUGACAAUCCUCCAUGUAAUGAUGUGUGAAAAACCACCACUCAAGGUGAAACAUGGGUAAUGUCGAGUAAGCAAUAAUGAAAGAAAAGGCAGAGAACGAAUAUCACAAGUGGUGAUAUGUGAUAUAAGAAAAAUAGUGAUGAAAUGAUGUCCAAGUGGAAAAUAUCACAGUGAAGAGUGAAGAAUGAGGCUCGAAUAAGUGUGUCAAGUCUGGAACUCAUGACGUAUCCAAACAUAGCAUGCAAGCACUACAGGGUCUCCAACCUGGUGUAAUAGGUAAAUGAAGUGAUGAAAGAAAAGGCUAUGUGCUCGCAUGAGGCUCAAAGGGCUAGCAACGGGUAACUCUAUAUGCGAGGGUGAUAAAGUAAAUAGGCUUAUGAAAUAAUGGCCACCCAUCCUUUGACCAAAACCUCGAACAUCGUGCUUUCGAGAUCUCACAUGGCCAAUACUAAAGACUGGCAUCCAUCCAACAUAGUCAUGGCGACUCCUCUGAAAUCGCGUGAAAGCCCUCACUGAUGUUCUGUGAUAACCGUCAAUGUCCUCUGAAAAUCAACUCACUCUAUCAUCACAAGCCACUCACCAUCGUCUCAUAAAAUCACCAUCUCUAAUCAUCCCGACUCUCUGAAAUCAUGUGUAACGACUCAAAUCUGGAUGCUCCAUGACGAUCCAUCUGCCUCAACAACAUCAUCAAGCAAUCAAGCCACUCUCUCAUCACGAUCCAUCUAUCAUCAUGUAAAGCUCACCUCGGGUCUAACCAUCUCGGACUCUGCCUAGUCAGACCAAGGAAAUGAUGGAAAGGAAAGGCAAUGGUACUAUAGCAUGAUAAGGCGAACAAGGGUGGUAAAGUCGUGUAAUGGUACCAAGGGAUGGUGUCAUGUUAGGCUCAAAAUGGGUAGGUCGUCAAGUCCAUAGAGUCAAAGUACGAAUAGGGAUAUGGUACUCGCUCUAAUCAAAAGGAGAAAUGGGUCACAAUCUCAAACUCCCUAGGUCGAUCUCCUGAUCCUAGGUCAAUAAGCUCAAUAUCCUCCAUGAUAGGUCAGGCCAAAGUGAUCAUGAUGUAUAAGUGAAAAUAUGUCUCAAAUCAAAAGUACAACACAUCAUAUGAAAUAUGGUCCUAUGAUGGCAAUCUAUAACUGGAAAUAUGACAGAAACUCUAAGGUCAUAAAGGUGUCCACUAUGAGAUGGCUACAAAUGUGACUAAAGAAUUUCUAUCAACGAUCCAAAAAAAUGAAUGAGGUGUGAAAAACAACACUGUCAUGAGAUCGAUACUCCAUCUAUAACAACAAUAUCCUUGAAUCAACCUUCGACUUGAGCUCCAUAAGAGAAAAAUAAUAAGGUGAUCAAGGCGACUCUCUCAAAAAAAGUGUGAAUAUGAAAACGUGCCUUUCACCUUUCCGUAAUGAAAAUAUGAGCAUCGGAUUGAAAAUUGAAUCAAGUAUCCAACGAAGAAUGGGGUACUGAGCCCGUGAUAGGUGUACAAUGCAAAAACAAGAUGAUCAUGAUCGAUGAACAUAUCCUGAAGCAUCAAGUAAGUGACAACAAAGUGAAGGGGUAUGUCGAGCCAAGAAAUGAGAAUGAAAGCCCUAAGGAGAAAACAUGCUAAACUCAUCGAGUGAAAAACAUAAUCCAAGGUGACAUGACGAAAGGUGAUCCAACCGAUACUCAGACUCAUACUGAUCUCCGAGCACUCUCAACUAGAGACUAAAAAGAGGGAGUGUCAAAUCUAAACUGUGACUAAAGAGGCUCUGAAGGCCCUCAGAUGCACCCACGUGUAGGGAGAGAGUCCUAAUCGAAGGAUCUAUGGCUCAACCUACAAGGUGAAGGUGGUUCUAGAUGGAUGAGGGUGGACUUUAAAGGAUCCCUAGCAGAAGCGAUCAUACCCUCCGGCGGUACGCAACCCUCUGCACGCCUCCGAAGAGACGGGCUGCUUCCAUGCAAGGUGGUCAUCACCUCCACACAUGCACUACCUCGACAUCCCAAGGGGCUCCAAUGGUGAAAGCUCUCACAACUCUCAACACUCAAUGGUCGACUGAUGUGCACAGUGAACGGUGUGGGUGCAUCCGAUAAUCCUAUGAAACUAAAAGAAAACACACUGGCCACACAAAGAUCCUGAAAUCUAGCUCUGGACUAUACAAGUCUUCAAAGUUUGGACUCCAAUCAGCAUCAAUAUGUCGACCACCUCCAGAAUGCUCCCAAACAUAGAUAUAGCCCAUCGCUAGACCCUACUCCUAAUCACUAGCUCGGUCGAAGAGCAAACAGGUCUCAUAUCAAAUACGAGAUCAAGGAAAACAAUGUCGACCAAGACUAGGGACUUGGAAAUAAGGGGAUAAGUGUGUGUCCCACAUAGACACGCAACUCAUGCAGUCACAUAGAACGAGAAAAGUCAUGCAACAGACAGUCAUGCAAAACAGGUAUAUACCAUCCAAAUCUACACACAAGCUAAUCGAGAAGAAUAUGUGGCAAUGAUAGCAUGCUCCAUGAAAAUCAAGAUAAUAUAUAACCGAGAGAAGUAAUCAUGUCAAAUCAAAUGAUAUACAAUGGCGAGUCUAUACAUGUGAAGUGAUCAAAACAAACAUGACAAAAUCAGGGUCACUAUGCUAAACAAUGUAAGAUAAUCGAUCAAUGCAACUAGCAUAUCAGUGUCUCAAACAAAUAUAGCAAUGAAUCACGAAAAAAAAAAAAUCGCCACAAUCAAAAUCCUCAAUCAAGAUAAACAAUCAUCAUAAUCAAUGAUGUCAAUGCCCCAAGUAAAAACAAACACCCAAGCAUGCAUCUAAUAGUAUCGGGAACUCUCAAUGUGCAAUCAAGAAAUAGGUACCCCCUGAUUGACUCAUCAAUCGCCACGUUUGCUUCAUCCUAAGUUCAAGUUUGACCCUCUAAAAGUGUCCCUAGUGGAGUCGCCAUUUUGUGGACCCCGCAUUUCUGCUCAUGCGUUUCCCACUCGAUGGCGAGCUCGAUUUUUUAUUUAAAAAAUUUAUUUUUAUUUGAUUAAGAAAAAUGACUUGGAGUCGCCACUUAUUUUUGUUUUAUUUUUAAAAAGGGUAAACAAAAUAAGAAAGAAAAACCCUAAGUGUGACUCCUUAUUUUGGAAAAGGUGGUCUGCGAAAAACCGGAUCGAGUUCGGGGGUCAGGUUACUUAUCGGGAAGGUACGGUAAAAACCGUAACACCCUUCUAAGUCCCUAAAGUCGGGUCUCUACAAAUAAAAUGAAGUUGACAUGGCAAUUGAUGAGGAAAUCAAUGAAUACCCGGAACUAUCAUGCACAUAUGAGAAUCAAAGCAUGCAUAUAGAAAUACCAGAAUGGGAAUAGAUAUGUACCUGGGCGACGAGCCACAAUAAGCUUAUCAAAAAGUGAGGUUAAUGCACAAUUAAGAAAUAAUUUCGAGCAUGGAUACCAAAUGAAUAUCACUCAAAACAAAAAUAACUGAAUGAAUAGGAGAGACAAAGAAUGUACCUGAGUGAUGAACCGGUCAAUCGCGCGUGACAAACAAAUCAAUAAAUGAAUCAAUCAAUCAUAAAAUCAUGUAUGUGGGGCCCCCACCAAAGCCCGAUCGAUCUUGCAUGAAUUAAUCUCACAAAUUCCAUUAUUCUGAAAUUAUGAAAGUGACAUUCACGCUUAUAUAAAACCAAGAGGAACAUGAGAUUAUUUGAAAACCGGAAUGAAAUUAAAACUGUUCGAGUGAAGACUGGAUUUUUGAACUUUGUUUGAAAAUUGGAGUAUCGAAAAUUAUUUGGAAAUUGGAGUUUUGGAAAUUAAAUUUAAGAAUUGGAAUUUUAGGGAUUAAAUUCGAAUGAAAACAUAAUUUUGAAAAUUAUUUGGGAAGUAGAAACUAUCAAAGUUAAAUUAUGAAAAUUGGGACUUUAGAAAUUAAAUUUUGAAAGAAAUUAGAAUUGGAAAUUAUUUAAGAAUUAGAAAUCAUGAAAAUUAAAUUACAUAAAUUGGAAUUUUGGAAAUUAUUUGAAGGUGGAAUUUUUCUAAAGAUAAAUAACUAAAAUGAUGAUGAUAAUAAUAUUAAUAACAAUAAUAAUAAUAAUAAUAAUAAUAAUAAUAAUAAUAAUAAUAAUAAUAAUAAUAAAUAAACGUGAAUAGUGAAAUUUUUGAAAUUGAAAAUUAAAUUUGGGAGUUGGAAUUUUGAAGGAUUAUUAAAAGAUGGAAUUUUAAAAUGAACUUGAAAAUUAGAAUCUAAAAAAAAUAUUUGAGGAAUGAGAUUUCUUAAAGAAUCUAGAUAUUGGAAGUUUUUAGGAAAUUAUGUGAGAAUGGAAGUGAGAAUAUGACCAUUAGAAAGUGCUUAAAUUAAUUGAGAAAGAAACUAGAUUGUUAACACAUGUAGGCGUGGAGGAUAAAAUAAUAAUAACAUAAAAAAGAAAAAGAAAAUGGGCAUGUGCUUGGGAUUGAGUGCAUAGGCGGCUGCCCAUUUUCUUUGAUGAUGGCCCUACUAUUCCUCUGACUUGCACUUUGUCCCAUGAUGAAAUUGAAUUCACCCAUGGAUUAUAUGACCAGCAUGCCGACCCUUCCACCAACUCCAAAGCCGCAA